CUCGGCCUAUUAUAAGUGAUAGAGUACGUGGGAUUGUAAAUUCUGAGGUGAGGUUUCGGUCGGAGGAGA
RNAcentral lists this transfer RNA (69 nucleotides) under Azygia hwangtsiyui. Its description in RNAcentral is "tRNA-Tyr". The record is from RNAcentral. Lineage: Eukaryota; Metazoa; Platyhelminthes; Trematoda; Azygiida; Azygiidae.